CGAGGAGCAAGCUCGACGCGAUUUGGCCGAUUAAUGCAGCAAGGAAUAAUGCGGCGCUCGUCCCUCUGCUUUGGCGGCUUCACGAUGAAGUACAAGAGGGGCACAGGUCUCUGGGACGAGGACCAUGUGAACGACUUUGAUGCCAACAAGUACUUGUCCGCGCGGUCGACGAUGCGGUGGUACUAUGGGAUGGAGCGGCUGCAGACGCGCAACAGCGUCAAUGCCCGGCGCGCCACACAGAGCUACAACAACAACAUGGGCCUUCAUCAUAGCGGCCGUGGUGCCUUCGAGCGCGAGCUCGAGCGCCGCGGCAUCCAGGUAGACAAGUAUCCUCUGACGACAACCACCGGCGCUGCGCGGGUGGCGGAGAUGGUGCUGCUGCGGCGCCAAGAACUCGAGGCGCACGCAAAGAAAGCUAUGGAUUCUCAGCGGCAGGAGCGGCGUCGCGACGCCCCGUCUGAGUGGUACGACGAAACUGAUGGACCACUAAAUCCACGGUUCCUCCCGAGCAUGCAGAACAGCUACACUCAGGUUAUCACAGAGUUGCCUUGUUCCCCCGUUACUAGGGCGUCGUGAACUGCCUGGCGCGUGGUUCGUUUAGUGUCGGUGGGUGGUGAAUGCGUGUCAUUCAGAGGCCUAUGAUGAUGCUUUAUUCUCUUAUUUUUCUCCUGUUGCCCUUUGCUGUCUAGGCGCCACGUGUUCUUUGAGGAAGAGCAGCAGUCCACUCCAGGGUGAAGCGCCGAAAGGGGACGCCGACAUGGAGAGACGCGCGCAUGCCGCUGUGGCGUGGCAUUGCGCCUGCAUUUGUGCGUCACCUAAAAUGGAAAAACCACGAGCGUAACAUGAGACGCUGGCAUUUCAGAGUGGUGUAGCAGUGCCGCUCUUCCACCACACACACACACACACACACACACACACACACACACACACACGCACACAUACGUCAGCGCGUGUGCAUUUGCUUGGAAGAGAUUGCAUCGUUGGUGGUGGUAGUGAAGGAGGAAGAGCAAAAAAGUGAGUCGUGGUCUUCCUCAUUCCUCUUUCUCUCCGGCGUGCCCUGGUAGCUCUUCCAGCGGACGGAGAGGCCCACUGGCCCGUCGUACCGGCGCGUUACGUGCCGUUCGCGGCCCACUCUGCCCUUAACCAUUAUCUUGUGUGAUGACCGCACUGUCGAGUGUUC
RNAcentral lists this unclassified non-coding RNA (1180 nucleotides) under Leishmania donovani. Its description in RNAcentral is "gene:LdHU3.33.0090(CDS-product:hypothetical_prote in_conserved)". Lineage: Eukaryota; Euglenozoa; Kinetoplastea; Trypanosomatida; Trypanosomatidae. The record is from RNAcentral.